GGGCCGUUAGCUCAGUCGGUAGAGCAUCUGACUUUUAAUCAGGUGGUCGCUGGUUCGAAUCCAGCACGGCCCACCA
Molecule: transfer RNA, 76 nt
Filed under: Gammaproteobacteria bacterium
Lineage: Bacteria; Pseudomonadati; Pseudomonadota; Gammaproteobacteria
Also listed under: 1 other name
Description: tRNA-Lys
Rfam family: tRNA
About the family: Transfer RNA (tRNA) molecules are approximately 80 nucleotides in length. Their secondary structure includes four short double-helical elements and three loops (D, anti-codon, and T loops).
Source: RNAcentral